UUUUUUUUAUUUUGUAUUCAAUUUAGUGUUGUUUAAACCUAAAUGUUUGUUGGGUAGUUAUUUAACCGACGAACAGCUUUAGCGAAAAUUCGCACAUCAAGCAUUCAGUUAGUAUCCAUUACUUCAGCCAACCGCACAGUGCGCCCGCCUUUGUGUGUGUAUCGUCGUACUUGUGUCAGUUGGUUUGUCCAAAUGACAAUCAACGUGUAAUGACAAUUUUCAGUCAUUUUAUUUGAUUAUGGCAAAAAAAAAAAAAAAUAGCACAAUCCGACAAACGUUAAUUCAAUCUGCCAGGCGGCGAGCUCGAGUCUCAACUCAACUAGUCAAGUCAUUUCGUGGCAGCGUCGGCGCAUAUCAAAGCGUUUUUGCGCACUUCAUCGUGCAAAAUUCAUUGAUGCUGUGUUGUGGCUGGCCAACCAGCUAGACAGGCCGUGAUGCGAACGCUCAAGUGUACACGCUGUUAGCUGUGACAGCGCGCCGAUUAGAUAUGUACGCGCGGUACUUUUGUGCAUUUCGCAGCUAUCUCACGCUGACACUGAGCCAAGAAAACUUAGCUAACUGACAGUUCUUCCGGCCGACAGCACAAGUAGUCGCAAGCAUGCUGUGUGUGUCCGUGUGUGUGUGUGCUUGAGUGUGUUGAAAAACUUUAUAGCGGCAAUUUUUAAUUCGAUUCAGCGUCAAGUGGCGAUUUGUGAUUUGCAAUAUUCAAUUUGCAAUUAGCAUUUUAAUAUAAUUUUGCAAUUAAAAAACGUUAGUUGAGCACUUUUUUACUAUUGCAUUGAGUUGAGUGAGUGGCUUCCACCUGUCAGGAGGUGAAUUUGCGUCGUUGUCAUUUCCAUGGCGGCGAAAUGUGCUUUGUCGUUGAGGUGGUUUUUGUUUUUUGUUGCUCGUUGCCAACUAAUGAGAGCGUAAUUUAGCGCGACAGUAGUUGGGAAUUCAUAAAUAGCUGAAAUGGCAUUGCGGCUCAUUAUAGAGAAACGUAUUGAUUAUUGAUUGAAAUUAAACGAGAAAUCAAAGAUAAUGUCAUUAAUGAAAUCGGCUAAAAUACAAUAUCAUCAUUCGAGAUCAACGGUGGAAAACUUGUUGGUGAAUAUGCGCAACGAACUAAGCAAUCAGCAAAAUCAACUGCCAAAGCCAGUAUGCAUAUAAACACAUCUAGCUUAAGUCUAGCUUAAAUUUACGAGCAAUUAAAUAUACGCAGCGACAAAGCAGUAGUCAAUAAAAAUCUCAUAAACACAAUAAUUUGAACCAAAAAAAUCAAAUCGAAAUGGAAUAUCAAAGCGGCGGUGGCGGCAUCAACUUUGCAGCUUUACGUUUUCGGUUUUGCGUUUCUCAAAAUGGUCGUUUAUCAAUUUUGUUUUCGGCUUUUUUGUUGUUGUUGUUGUUGUAAUAAGUUUGCGGCAAUUUGCAUAAUUAAAACGAUUUCAAAAGUAUGAUGAA
Molecule: long non-coding RNA, 1440 nt
Filed under: Ceratitis capitata (Mediterranean fruit fly)
Lineage: Eukaryota; Metazoa; Arthropoda; Insecta; Diptera; Tephritidae
Description: uncharacterized LOC110118038, transcript variant X1
Source: RNAcentral